CCUAUGCUGCCGAGAAAAGCCUCUAGCGAGCUGGUACAUGGCCCGUACCCCAAACCGACACAGGUGGUCAGGUAGAGAAUACUAAGGCGAUCGAGAGAACUGUGGUUAAGGAACUCGGCAAAAUGCCCCCGUAACUUCGGGAGAAGGGGGACCAGUCCUGGUGACGACAUUUACUGUCUGAGCUGGGGUUGGUCGCAGAGACCAGAGAGAAGCGACUGUUUACUAAAAACACAGGUCCGUGCGAAGUCGUAAGACGAUGUAUACGGACUGACGCCUACCCGGUGCUGGAAGGUUAAGAGGACCGGUCAGCCACUUCGGUGGCGAAGCUGAGAAUUUAAGCCCCAGUAAACGGCGGUGGUAACUAUAACCAUCCUAAGGUAGCGAAAUUCCUUGUCGGGUAAGUUCCGACCUGCACGAAUGGCGUAACGACUUCUCUGCUGUCUCAACCACAGACUCGGCGAAAUUGCAGUACGAGUAAAGAUGCUCGUUACGCGCGGCAGGACGAAAAGACCCCGGGACCUUCACUAUAGCUUGGUAUUGGUGUUCGGUUCGGUUUGUGUAGGAUAGGUGGGAGACUGUGAAACUCGCACGCCAGUGUGGGUGGAGUCAUUGUUGAAAUACCACUCUGACCGUAUUGGCCAUCUAACCACGGACCAUGAUCUGGUUCAGGGACAGUGCCUGGUGGGUAGUUUAACUGGGGCGGUUGCCUCCUAAAAAGUAACGGAGGCGCCCAAAGGUUCCCUCAGCCUGGUUGGCAAUCAGGUGUUGAGUGUAAGUGCACAAGGGAGCUUGACUGUUAGACGUACAUGUCGAGCAGGGACGAAAGUCGGGACUAGUGAUCCGGCACCGGCAAGUGGAAGCGGCGUCGCUCAACGGAUAAAAGGUACCCCGGGGAUAACAGGCUGAUCUUCCCCAAGAGUCCAUAUCGACGGGAUGGUUUGGCACCUCGAUGUCGGCUCGUCGCAUCCUGGGGCUGGAGUAGGUCCCAAGGGUUGGGCUGUUCGCCCAUUAAAGCGGCACGCGAGCUGGGUUUAGAACGUCGUGAGACAGUUCGGUCUCUAUCCGCCGCGCGCGUAAGAAACUUGAGGAAACCUGUCCCUAGUACGAGAGGACCGGGACGGACGAACCUCUGGUGUGCCAGUUGUUCCACCAGGAGCACCGCUGGUUAGCUACGUUCGGAAGGGAUAACCGCUGAAAGCAUCUAAGCGGGAAGCCUGUUCCAAGAUGAGGUUUCUCACCACCUAGCGUGGUUAAGGCCCCCCACAGACCAUGGGGUUGAUAGGCCAGAACUGUAAGCACAGCAAUGUGUUCAGGUGACUGGUACUAAUCGGCCGAGGACUUU
RNAcentral lists this ribosomal RNA (1342 nucleotides) under metagenome. RNAcentral describes it as "bacterial LSU rRNA". It matches the Rfam family "Bacterial large subunit ribosomal RNA", at positions 1599 to 2925 of the family's 2925-position model. The record is from RNAcentral.